UACGGAGACUGCAAGCGUUAUUCGGAUUCACUGGGCGUAAAGGGUGCGCAGGCGGUUAUGUGUGUCAGGUGUGAAAUCUCGGAGCUCAACUCCGAAACUGCGCCUGAAACUACAUGACUAGAGUAUCGGAGAGGUGAGCGGAAUUCAUGGUGUAGCAGUGAAAUGCGUAGAUAUCAUGAGGAACACCAGAGGCGAAGGCG
This 200-nucleotide ribosomal RNA is filed under the name uncultured bacterium. RNAcentral's name for it is "partial 16S ribosomal RNA". It matches the Rfam family "Bacterial small subunit ribosomal RNA", at positions 524 to 723 of the family's 1533-position model. The record is from RNAcentral.